UGGUGGCAGCAGCACACCAUCAUGUUUGCCAACCACUACAAAUACCAAGAGGAGGAGGAAGAGAGUCAGGGGGCAACAGGAAGAAGAUUUGAGAGCAGCAGAUCCAGGUGAUAAUUGUGUGCUGUCACUGACCAUGAGAGGACUGGAGCGACUGGAAACGGAGAAAGGUCCCAGUUUACCAGCAGACGUGUUUGGAGACAUGAAGACCGUAACGGACAGCAGACCUUCGACAUAUAUUGUCUGCUGAGACCAGGACACACAGUUCCUCAUUGAUUGAUGGAGACAACACUGGUAAUGGCCUUAACAGCCAGUCAAGGAGGACAAUCAGUGGCCAUUGAUCCGAGCAGCCGGGGAACCAGUGUAUGUCUGUUCAAGUGUGCUCCUUUGAAUCUCACCAGGAUCCCCAACAGAAGAACACCCUGGGAGUGUAUCGUACAAGGACACUUCAGUGGGGUGGAUUUCAUGAUGAGAAAAAGAAUUAGGGCCCACGUUCAAGUCAAGGAGGGAGGUAAAGGAUAAAGGUUUUUGUGGAGAAUGAGCAGUGAGCACACCGCAGGCCCCUCAGCACAGCACCCCCCCCCAACCCCCCCGUGGAUUUUCAGAUGGAGCUGUCCACAUACAGCAUGCUAUAAGCUGCAUCGGGGGGGGGAGCAAGUGCAGACUGGAGGGCUGGCAGAGCCGUGAUGCACACAUCCCUGAGCACUCACUGUUAAUGUUCUUCAGUAUGGAACAAUGAGCAUGGCUUUUCUCUGUGUCCCCUCCGCUUCACUGUCUGUACCAGGAGCUGCAGCAUUGUCUUGAUUCUUCCCUGGUAAUCCUGAGAGAGUCGAUGCAGAGAGCCUGUCACAGCCAAGUCUCUCAGAUCAUUUAUUAUUGAUUCUUCAGACAUGAGGUGGGUGGAGCAAGGACGAUAGAAAGAGACAGAGAAAAUGAGAAACAGGCCGUCCUCGAGAAGAGAGAGAUGUAAAACAUGAUGUGGAAGGAAACAACUGGGAGCAAAGAGAAAAAGAAGGCAAGGACGGUGAAAGAAUAGCCAGCGGCAAAGAUGAGGACUCGGACUUUAAAUCUAUUUAGAUAAAUUAGUGAAGCAGAACAAGUCACAGCAUUUGAACAGUAGAGAUGUUGAAAGAAAGAUGAGUUGUGGGCCGGUGUGUGAACGGGCGACCUCAAAGCUGCAGAAUGUUGCGCCAGAGGCAGAGACGUCUUCAUGCUGUCCCUCGUCAACAGUGUGGCCUGUCCUGGGUCACCUGGACCCGACGUGGGCUGCAGAAAAUCCCUGUGGACGCGAGUGGCUGCUCCCUGUCAUAAAACACUAUAUCAGAGAGCAGAACAUGGGGAGUGGCUUUGUUAGGUCAAUAUUUGGCUGUGCGUGCGUGUGUGUGUGAGACACACUACAGAUGGAUUUUUAUUUUACACUCAUCAGUGUCACACAUUGAAUUAUUCUCUCCCAUUUCUUUUAUUAAACCAUUUGUUUAGAUACGUCUCCCGUCUGGUACCACGAAUGCUUUUGCUGAAUUAGUUUUAUUUUCCAGCAGCAGGCCAAAAUGAAACGCACGCGCUGUAAUGUCUGCCAUUAGAUGUCACUUAAUCACAACAAUAACAAGUUUGAUCAUGUCAGAAAGCAGCGGGGGAUCAUGGGAAUAGUUGUCUUGUCGUCUCGUUCUCUUCCUUUUGUGCAUUCGUGCUUCAAGGGGAGCCCUUCAACGUCACAGUCGGCAGCAAAUGGCAGUGAGCAGUCGUGAUUCAUGAGUGAAAACGAAAAAGACAAAAGGCAACACUUAGGCUAGAGCACAAAUAUUUCCUUAAACACGCUCAUGUUUCAUAGGGUUUGCAUAUUUCUAUGGAUUUGAAGAGUGUCGGAAACAUUUCAACACAAAUGUUCAAUAUGAUAUCUUUAAACAUAAAGUCUAGAUAGUUGUUUCACUCACUUCUUCAUUGCUCCCAGUGGUUAUAUGCCCCUGCUUAUCUCACCGUUUCAGUCUGUGCACAUCUUUCCCAGACUCAUAAAACUGGCACAUGUUGACUUAAAGGAAAUAUAAUUGCAGUGAUUCCAUUACUGCAGAAUUUAAACAGGGUUCUCCAAAGGCAUUCAAAGUGUCCUUAACCUUUAACCUGCAAAAUGUAAUCGGGUCGUCCUUGAGAUGUUGCAUCCUCAAGACUGGGUCACGGGUACAUACAGACAACAGGAAUGGGCUGAAAACACUGAAGUCAUCGAGUACACCAACAGUAUGUAACACUCAAUCAAUCACAGUUCAGCCCUAAAUCAGUUAGGCCUGUGCGCUGCCAGUGCAUCCACAAUGAUAAUUAUCUCCGUAGCUUCAUAUAUGAGAUGUAAUGCUAUUGCAUAGUUGAGUAGCUAAUAUCUCACUGGAGCCCACAUUACUGCACAGUGCAGCAGAGCCAGGAGCUGUUUGGCAGUCACGCUGGAAGUAUAGAGCUCAGAGCGAAGACAUAAAUCACAACAUCGCUCUGGAUCCACUACGACUCAGUAGUGUCAGCGUUACCACGGCACCCAUCAAUCACUCCUUUCAUUAAAGUACACUUGGUACAGUAAAUGUAUGCAAACGCCAUGUACUCCAUCCUCAACCAGGAGAGAACGUCAGGUUAAAUUGUUAACUUUGCAACUAAUCAGCCACUGUCUUGCUCUAAUGCACCAGCAUAGAGACUCAGUUCAGGCAGCGAGAGGCUGAGUGGCUCAAAUAAACCUUAAACUGAGGUUUGAAAAGAACACGGAGCAGUUUAUUUUUUAUUUUUUUGUUCCCUUCAGCUGAGGCAAACAAAGCUUUUACAUCAGAGAUGGUUGAACCCUCAAGUGAACUACAUGGGAAACACAAUCUGGAGUGAAGGACAACCUUGUGUGUGUCUAGGGAUUGACUAUGGAAUAAACUUACAGAGACUGAAACAGACUGGAAUAUUCAUUCAAUAAUAUAAGUGUCAUGUAAAGCCUGAGAUUGUUAUAAAUAAUUUUAAAUAAAA
Long non-coding RNA from Solea senegalensis (Senegalese sole), 2976 nucleotides. RefSeq lists it as uncharacterized. The transcript has 4 exons. The record is from RefSeq and is a predicted model, not a curated record. Lineage: Eukaryota; Metazoa; Chordata; Actinopteri; Pleuronectiformes; Soleidae.